Long non-coding RNA from Alligator sinensis (Chinese alligator), 520 nucleotides. RefSeq lists it as uncharacterized. The record is from RefSeq and is a predicted model, not a curated record. NCBI's taxonomy places the organism in Eukaryota, Metazoa, Chordata, Crocodylia, Alligatoridae. The transcript is spliced from 4 exons.
UUUUGUCUGAAAUGUGCCUGUCACAUGCUGACUGCGGUCCAGACAGACCCACAACCCCUUGCCCCCUCCAGCUCUGUUGGAGGGGGGGCCCCAGCUGCCAGAACUGCAGGGGUUUUCAGAAAGCUGAGUAACCAUUUGCACUCUGUCUGCCUAGUCUGUCUGGGGUAUCUCAUGAUUUAGUGUCUUUUUGAUCAGGGGGGCCCAGAUCUGGAAAAUGUGCCUGUUAACCUGACUGGAGCCAGGUAGAUGAAUAGAGGCUACAUAAACGAAACUUGUGGAAUCCAGCCUGCAUUUGCACUGCGGGGGCUGCUGUCAUGUUACAGUGCCCACCCUGAUUGGCCCCUGAUUGGACAUGGCUUUGCCAGCAGAAGAAAUGUUUUGUUGCUUGACCCACAGCAGCUCCUAUGAAUGACAGAAUCACUGCUGCAGGACCUGCUUUCUACUGGCAAAGCUGUCUACACCACAGGUUUGACCAGCAGCACCACCUUAUCUACAGAGUGUGAUGGUUAUAUGGCCUUUG